GGAUCCGAGUUUGUUCACUGAUGGAGAGGGGCACUUAGAGCAAGAUACCCGACCUUGACUGGGGACCAAGCACGAAAUCCCUAAGAGGUGACAGGAAGAGAGAAGUCUGAAACGUUAAGUGAGUUAACCAGAUGGUGUCAGAAGUGGAAUCCAAAGAAGAGCUAACAACCCCCAGGAGCGCUGAGCGUGGUUCCCACUCGGCCCAUUGUGCCCAUUGCUCUCUUGGAGCAGCUGGGGAUCGUGGCUAGAGUACAAUGGCACAAUCACGGGUCACCGCAACCUCCACCCCCUGGGCUCAAGUGAUUCCCCUGCCUCAGCCUCCUGAGUAGCUGGGAUUACAGGUAUGUGCCACCACACCUGGCUAAUUUUGUAUUUUUAGUAGAGAUAGGGUUUCUCCAUGUUGGUCAGGCUGGUCUUGAACUCCCG
RNAcentral lists this long non-coding RNA (426 nucleotides) under Homo sapiens (human). RNAcentral describes it as "non-protein coding lnc-RPRM-4:3". Lineage: Eukaryota; Metazoa; Chordata; Mammalia; Primates; Hominidae. The record is from RNAcentral.